AUUGAACGCUGGCGGCAUGCCUUACACAUGCAAGUCGAACGGCAGCACGGGUGCUUGCACCUGGUGGCGAGUGGUGAACGGGUGAGUAAUACAUCGGAACGUACCUUAUCGUGGGGGAUAACGCAGCGAAAGCUGUGCUAAUACCGCAUAAGCCCUGAGGGGGAAAGCGGGGGAUCGAAAGACCUCGCGCGAUUAGAGCGGCCGAUGCCUGAUUAGCUUGUUGGUGGGGUAAAAGCCCACCAAGGCGACGAUCAGUAGCUGGUCUGAGAGGACGAUCAGCCACACUGGGACUGAGACACGGCCAAGGCUCCUACGGGAGGCAGCAGUGGGGAAUUUUGGACAAUGGGGGCAACCCUGAUCCAGCAAUGCCGCGUGAGUGAAGAAGGCCUUCGGGUUGUAAAGCUCUUUUGUCAGGGAAGAAACACCGGCUCUAACACAGUCCGGGAAUGACGGUACCUGAAGAAUAAGCACCGGCUAACUACGUGCCAGCAGCCGCAGUAA
This 501-nucleotide ribosomal RNA is filed under the name uncultured bacterium. Its description in RNAcentral is "partial 16S ribosomal RNA". It matches the Rfam family "Bacterial small subunit ribosomal RNA", at positions 29 to 523 of the family's 1533-position model. The record is from RNAcentral.